CAAUAGCGUAUAUUUAAGUUGUUGCAGUUAAAAAGCUCGUAGUUGGAUUUCGGGUGGGUUCCAGCGGUCUGCCUCUGGUAUGUACUGCUGUGGCCUACCUUUCUGCCGGGGACGUGUUCCUGGGCUUCAUUGUCCGGGACUCGAAUUCGGCGAGGAUACUUUGAGUAAAACAGCGUGUUCAAAGCAAGCCUACGCUCUGAAUGCAUUAGCAUGGAAUAUCACGAUAGGACUCUGGCCUAUCUUGUUGGUCUGUAGGACCGGAGUAAUGAUUAAGAGGGACAGUCGGGGGCAUUCGUAUUUCAUUGUCAGAGGUGAAAUUCUUGGAUUUAUGAAAGACGAACUUCUGCGAAAGCAUUUGCCAAGGAUGUUUUCAUUAAUCAAGAACGAAAGUUGGGGGCUCGAAGACGAUUAGAUACCGUCGUAGUCUCAACCAUAAACGAUGCCGACUAGGGAUUGGCAGGUGUUUUAUUGAUGACCCUGCCAGCACCUUAUGAGAAAUCAAAGUUUUUGGGUUCCGGGGG
This 521-nucleotide ribosomal RNA is filed under the name Haematococcus lacustris. RNAcentral's name for it is "SSU rRNA". It matches the Rfam family "Eukaryotic small subunit ribosomal RNA", at positions 592 to 1120 of the family's 1831-position model. The record is from RNAcentral. Lineage: Eukaryota; Viridiplantae; Chlorophyta; Chlorophyceae; Chlamydomonadales; Haematococcaceae.